This 407-nucleotide long non-coding RNA is filed under the name Pan troglodytes (chimpanzee). Its description in RNAcentral is "lincRNA". Lineage: Eukaryota; Metazoa; Chordata; Mammalia; Primates; Hominidae. The record is from RNAcentral.
UUCAAAUCUCUUAAAUUUGGAUUCCCAGGUUACCUACAGAAAUGAUGUCGAACUUGAGAUGAUUUCACGGACUCAAGGACACCUUCAUUGGUCUUCCCAAAUUUGGAGUGCACUCUUAACCCUUUCUUUGACCACUUUCUCACACCUAAAGCUGUUUAAUAGGAGCAGCACUUUCAACUAUCAGAGGUGAACAUCCUGAUGGAGGGCAACAAAAGUCAGGGGUGUGGGUUCUCCAAAAGGGGCAUGACAUCUUAUGCAUUUUGACCAUUCCAAGAUUCUGUAGGACUUUUGCCAGAGGUACAAAGAAGGAAACAGACAAACAGGAAAUUUAAAUCUCUCAAAUGGUAUUAUUUGUUUGCCUCUUUUAUAAAAUUAUGGAGAUCGGAGAUUGAAGAUUAUGCUUGCAA